ACGAACGCUGGCGGCGUGCUUAACACAUGCAAGUCGAACGGUGAAGCGCCUUCCUUUUUGGUGGGUGUGGAUGAGUGGCGAACGGGUGAGUAACACGUGAGUAACCUGCCCCCUUCUUCUGGAUAACCGCAUGAAAGUGUGGCUAAUACGGGAUAUUCUGGGUCUGUCGCAUGAUGGGUCUGGGAAAGAUAUUGUUUCGGUGGGGGAUGGGCUCGCGGCCUAUCAGCUUGUUGGUGGGGUGAUGGCCUACCAAGGCGGUGACGGGUAGCCGGCCUGAGAGGGUGGACGGUCACACUGGGACUGAGACACGGCCCAGACUCCUACGGGAGGCAGCAGUGGGGAAUAUUGCACAAUGGGCGAAAGCCUGAUGCAGCGACGCCGCGUGAGUGAUGGAGGCCUUCGGGUUGUGAACCUCUUUCGCCAGUGAAGCAGGCCUGCCUCGUUUGUGGGUGGGUUGACGGUAGCUGGAUAAGAAGCGCCGGCUAACUACGUG
This 493-nucleotide ribosomal RNA is filed under the name uncultured bacterium. Its description in RNAcentral is "partial 16S ribosomal RNA". It matches the Rfam family "Bacterial small subunit ribosomal RNA", at positions 29 to 507 of the family's 1533-position model. The record is from RNAcentral.